RNAcentral lists this unclassified non-coding RNA (531 nucleotides) under Hevea brasiliensis (rubber tree). The record is from RNAcentral. Lineage: Eukaryota; Viridiplantae; Streptophyta; Magnoliopsida; Malpighiales; Euphorbiaceae.
GUUGGGUAGAUGAACAAACUCAGGUGGACAAAACAAAGCUACAGUAAUUGAAUAUUUGAACUAUUCCCACUUGUCAUUUGCUUAGAAACUGAUUUAAGAAGAUAAUAUUGUUGUUGCACCCUUCUUUAGUAUUGUACCGAAGUGUUGAUUUUACCCAGAAUUUGGGGAUAUUAAAGGAACUAUCUUGGUUGGUUGGUUUGAAAAUCAAAAUAAAGAUCAGAAAUAAUUUUUUUUGGUUCUGGUAGUUAGAUCUACCGAUAAAGGUUUGAUUCUUUUAAUGCACGGUGGCAAAUUGUGAGGCAGAAAUCUGCUGUUUCUAGGAAGAUUUGAGGAAUUUGGGACUGCAUCAGCAUCAUUAGCAUAAAAAUCAGAGUUGGGUUGCUUUUAUUAUUUGAUAUAUAGUUGAGGAAAUUUAAUGCUGAUUUGUACUUAGGAAUCCUGAAAUUGAGGAAAAUUCAACGAAGUACCCAGUUGUUAGGAUUGAAGUAUUCGAGUUUGAUUUCCUAUUGUCGAUUUUGGUUGAUUUGUUGG